This 5963-nucleotide long non-coding RNA is filed under the name Sus scrofa (pig). Its description in RNAcentral is "lncRNA (ENSSSCG00005014882.1)". The record is from RNAcentral. Lineage: Eukaryota; Metazoa; Chordata; Mammalia; Artiodactyla; Suidae.
AUAUGGAAACUCCCAGGCUAGGGGUUGAGCAGACGGGAACUCCAUGGAUCACAGUUUCUAUGUCAAGUGGUAGGAGAGUCAUCUGCCCAAGAAAGGUACUUGGUACAAAAAAACUAAGACUAGUUAAUCUCAUUAAAAUUGAGGAACUGAUAAUGUUUUCAGAGGGAUUAUCUUCCAAGGAGUGACUAGGAUCCAAACUCAAAAAAUAAACAGAUUAAGACCAUUUCUUCAGUCUAGUUCCACAGUGUGUAUAUCAUGAACUUUGCCAAAGGACAGUUGAUAUUUUUCCUACCCCAUCCCCUUCAUUUGGUCACCCAAUUUCAACAGGAAAGCUGGGAGGGACUGGGAGUCUGGGGUUAACAGAUGCAAACUAUUGCCUGUGGAGUGGAUAAGCCAUGAGAUUCUACAGCGCCGCACAGGGAACUCUAUCUAGUCACUUAGGAUGGAACAUGAUGGAGGACAACGUGAGGAGAAGAAGAUAUAUACACGCGUGUGACUGGGUCACUCUGCUGUACAGUGGAAAUUGACAGAACACUAUAAACCCACUAUAAUGAAAAAAAUAAAAAUCAUUAAAAAAUAAAGCUAAAAUUCAGCAAUGUACUAAGUAUAGGGGGAAAAAACCAGAAACAGACAUUUGACACAACAGAAGUGGGAUCAGAUGACCUCUUCAUGCAAGUUAAGCACUGGCACCCUUCCUGACAAAACUGCCUAGUUAAAAUCCCAUUCAUUUGGUAAAUAUUUACUUACAGAACACCUUGUGGUGACUGGCACCACAACACUGGACACAGUAUGAGGCUAUCAAGGAACGUACAGUCUAGUGGGACACAUAGAAUCAUCACUGACGCAGCAACGGAGAUGCAGAAAGUACAACUGGGGCACGGAAGUUCAGCCCAGGCUGAUGAAUAAAGGCUCAGCCGUGGCCAGGAGGAGGAGGUUCUAGCUGAUUGACAUUGGCACAGGACCUUCCAGACAGGAGGAGGAGCAUGCGUAAGCAACACUGAGCACAGCACAGCCUCUGGGGAUAACUCGAACGUGGCACCGUGUGAGCACGCAGAGGGCACACUGGGGCGGGGGUGGGGGGGGUGCGGCUCUGGUUGGAAAUGGGCCUUCAGCACGCAGACAGGUGCCACAUCACAAAGGGCGGCGGCGGACCUUAUCCUGCAGGUGAAUGGUAAGCAGAGGAAUGAACAGUACAGUUAUGUUUCGGAAAGUUUACUUGGGUCACAGAGGAAAGAUGGAUUAAAAUGACUUAUUUAAGUCAUACUAGAGACUAAAACUAGUAAGAAAGCUAUUAUAUUACAGAAGCAGAGGUAAUGAGGGCCGGAACUUGAGAAGCAACAGUGGAAAUGGGCAUAAAGUGACCAAUUUAAAGAAGAUUCAGAAAGUAAAAUAUUCAUGAGGAGUUCCUAUCGUGGCUCAGUGGUUAACGAAUCCGACUAGGAAGCAUGAGCGGGUUCGAUCCCUGGCCUCGCUCAGUGGGUUAAGGAUCCGGCGUUGCUGUGAGCUGUGGUGUAGGUCGCAGACGAGGCUUGGAUCCACAUUGCUGUGGCUGUGGUGUAGGCCAGGCGGCUACAGCUCCGAUUGGACCCCUAGCCUGGGAACCUCUAUAUGCUGUGAUGCAGCACUAAAAAGACAAAAAAAAAAAAAGUAAAAUAUGUGACAGACACCACAGGUUCCCAGCUAACUGCCUGCCCACAACUCACCGUAAAGGCUAGAAGAGCCAGACAGGCCCCUUCUCAGCUUCACCACAGUCACCAGGGAGCCAACUCUGGACCGUCUCUUGGGAAAGGAGGGUGGCUGUGGCAAGGCCUUCCCCGUCUAUUCAAAAGAGAUGGAUGUGGAGGAAAGUCCUACUCACCUCUGUCUUCUCCUCCUGCUGACUGAGGACACUAUGUCGGGUGCUGUGACAGUCACUUUACAACUAGGAGGGGACAAAGCAAGAACAAAAGCCAACAUGCUGAGGACAGCAGAGUGGAAAGACGAAAAAGUCUUGGUCCCUGAGGACUGGCCGAGCUGCGGGGCUAAUGCAGGGACUGUUUAUUUCUGGCGUAAGUAUCCUUCCAGUUCAAGCCACUCAUUGUCAAGCUCUCUGUUACUUUCAAAUAAAAUUAACCAAACUAAGAGACAGGGCCUGGUGAGGUGCAGGGUUUGUAACAAAGAGGAAUUUAAGUUUUGUUCCGAAGGCUCUGCCUUGGAAACUGAGAAGAAGGUGCCAGUUACCAAGAUAAAAUUACAGCACAAGAGAUUUGCAUCUUGGGGCUGGGGGGUGAGGCGGAGGUGGGGGGUGGAGGAGAGGAGGAAGGGUCUAAGGGGGGGAGGAGAAAAGGAAAAAAGUUUGUUCCUGGGCAUGCCGACUUAGAGAUAUUACGGAAUCAAGGGAGCUCCCAUUGUGGCUCUUGGGCCAAGGGUCUGGUGUUGCCGUGAGCUGUGGUGUAGGCCGGCAGCUACAGUUCCAAUUAGCCCCCUAGCCUGAGAGCCUCCAUAUGCCAUAGGUGCGGCCCUAAAAGGCUAAAAAAAAAAAAAUUAUGGAAUCACCCAGGUGAGAAGUUUAUUGAGGUGACUCUGGAACUCUUUCAAACAGUCUGAAUGAGAUCGACAGAUGUGCGGGAAGCCAGAUCCUGCCCCAGCUGCACGGCUCACACUCCCUAAGGGAGACAAGAGACUCAGUGGAGUCCAGAUAAAAACUUCCUAAUGUGAAGAGUCCUAGAGAGUGUUAAUCUUCUACUAUGACUCUGAAGAUGUACAGAUACUCUUUAAAAGUAGGAAGAAAACGUUUUAUAGAAUGCAUCUACAGACAUUAUCAUAUUACUGCAUAUUUUUAUUUCAUAAAAACUCCUUAGUAGCCAAGAUAACUGGAGAAACCCAGUAUCUGGAUGGAGGACCAAUGAAGAGCUUGUGCUAAAGUGACUACACCAGAGAUGGGCGCAGCCACUGAAACCCCCGGCCUCACUGUGUGUGCUCGCAAAUCAGCAGUUUUGAAUCACCUCAUUCCCAAGACGCGGAAAGUAACUCCAGGACAGGUUUUACCGGGGGAUGGAUUACUCUGAAGCACAGAGAGGAACCUAAUCAUUGAGAAGGCAGCAAGCAAUAAUUAAGCACCACUGAGAAAGAUUAAGUAAGCUUCUGAGGGCUGGCGUAUUCCUCCAGGAGAAGGAAGUUAAUUCGGAUGACCCCGAAACAAUUAUUUUCACCCGUGGCAGAGUUAUGGAAGCACUGACCCGCAGCUCCCACCCUAGUGAAAAGGAAAAGCAGAGCAGGCAACAGUCUCACAGAGAAAGAGGCACAAGGAUACACAGCAAGUGGUCCCUAUAAACAGUGAUUAUAAGUGCAAAUCAAAGGCUGAUUUUCUUGUUUACAAAGCUGGGACUGGAUAGGUAGCUCAUGUACCAGGCCUGUAUGUAAGGACAGACGGACAGAUGCGGGCAAUCCUCAUCAAAAGCAUUUAUGACUAGCAAAGAUAAAAGGACUCUGCCCUUGCCAUCAAGCAAACAUGUUCAAAAACCAAAACAGACUUGAGAAAAAUAAGUAUAAUAGAUACAAAUUUUGUCUAUCAACCCACUGGUCUUCAUUCUAAAACCUAACUCUGAGCACACUGCUCCCCACCACGAACACUUUAAGAGGUUCCCUCCCGGCUCACAGCCUCCCUAAGCCCUUCACUCCAACCCCAAACUAAAUGUUUUGUCCCCUUUCACGCAUUCUAUCUACACUCUAGCCAUGAGGGGACCAGCGGAGAUCCCCCACCCAACCCGUGCUUUCCCACUCCUGCCACUCUGUUCCCACUGACUGUUCUCUGCCUGUGGACAUGCUGCCGGUCCUUCGGGCUUGACGUUCUGGAGCUUUCAGCAUCCCCGAUCCCACAAAGCACUCAGGCUCCCCCCUUUACAUCUUGUUCUGCUCUUAGCAAAAGUAGGCUAUUCUGUCUUGAUUUGUUACUACUGUGACAUUCUAAAUUCCUUAAAAGAAGAGAUAAUUCACUUUGGUGAUUUCUACAGGGUCAUAACUAAAUAACUGUAGGCUGCCAAGUUAGUGGCAUAAAACACAAACUGAAAGCUCUCAAAAAAACACACAAGGACUUCCUGUUGUGGCGCAGCGGAAAGGAAUCUGACGAGUAUCCAUAAGGACUCAGUUUCGAUCCCUGGCCUUGAUCAGUGGGUUAAGGAUCCGGAGUUGCUGUGAGCUGUGGUGUAGGUUGCCAACAUAGCUCGGAUCUUGAGUUGCUGUGGCUGUGGAGCAGGCCGUCAGCUGCAGCUCCUAAUCGACCCUUAGCCUGGGAACUUCCAUAUACCACAGGUGCGGCCCUAAAAAGCAAAAAAAAAAAAAAAAAAAAGAAUACACAAGCCUAGGUUUGAUAACUCAGCUAUAAAGACUCAUAUACCUCUGUUAGGAAGAAAAAGCAAUACAUAAGAAAUAAACACAGGAAUUAUGCAGUGGAGAAGAUAAUGAAACAGACUGUGGUCUAGAAAUUCUAGCUCCUACUUCGAAGUUAUCUGGCCGGGUUUAACCCACCCUUUUGUCUCUCUCUGCUCCCUCUGUAACUACCUCCUCUGCAAAGGCGAGGUGAAGAAUAAGAUCUUUGUUGUCUAGUUAAUACCUCUUCCUCUACCUUCGCAGAUUCCUUUUAGGCUCUGAAACCAUGGCCCCCUGGCCACUGCAGAAUUCUGACUUAUAAAGGAGUGGAAACCAUCUGCAAGAACAGGAAGACAGUGUUCUCAAUACAUCAUCAAGGAUGGUUUGUAACACUCUUCAUGAAUAAACAGUCAGAUCACUGAGAGGGUGGGGGGCAAAGACACGGUAAAAGGGAUAUAAGAAUUCUUGAAAAUAAAGGCAACUACAGCUCUCUGCAGAAAAAGGUUAAAUCUGGGGAAUUAUUUCUUAACCAGUCACAAAGGCCAAAGACCUUACAAAGCAGCACGAUUUUCUAGCAUCUCUAAUUCUGAUUAUUCUUCUCUGAAACUUUUGCUACAGUGUUCCACUUUUCUUAGAGCCUACACCAAGCUAUGUCCUACUCUCACGAAUUCCCAGAUUGCGGCAUGGGAAUUCUCUUCUACCCAAGAUACGACACUGGAAAUUUAAAAACUUAAAGACAAUGCAAGAGAACCAAAACUUUAGGUCUAUGAAGGAGAACAAGACUCCCGACCUUUAGUAUUUCUGUUCUUUUGCAUCCAGCAAAAACAAUGAUGGGAACGUUCGGUCAAUCCGAAAAGAAAUUUUAAACAACGCAAAGAGAGGUAACCGCUUACAAAGCAAAAACUAAUCAACCCAAAGCCAUACAAACCCAAGCAUGCCUCUAACUGCAACAAUAAUUUUGUACUGGGUGUUUCAAUGGCAAACCGAUCCUUGGACUCGAUUCUGUGGGCUUAGAAUACACCAAAGGCAGAUGACAUAACAAACAAGUUCUUCCCGUCCCUCUCCUGUGGUCACGUCAGAUACCUGUUGCAUCACCCGGAAAGUGGUCUCCAGAAUCCAGGAAAGGCGCACCACCAGGAUCCCUAAAUAAGGCAGCCGGACUAUCUGCUGGAUCAAUUUUAGCCUCCAGUCAUUUUAAUGAGGUUGCCUUGGAGGCAGGGGUGUGUUGGCUCCUGUUCACCUCUGAAGUCAGUCUCCAGCACAAGCGGUGACUUUCUGGACUUAAGAGGGGCUUGGGAGUUUCCAAGGACUUGGGCAUGAACAGAGAUGUGCGGCUCGGCAGGAGGAGAGGGGAGGGGAGAGCGGGCAAAUCGAGUGGGAGAAGCAGGGCAGCCCCGGAGCCCCGGUGGUGGCGUGGGAAGUCCGACCGGCGACCUAAGCUUCGUGGAAAGGACUCGGCUCGUCGGCCAGGGAGUGGGGCCCAGCUCAAGGUCCGAGCCACGUCGGGGCACGCGAGAGGUUCAAGGCGAACCAAAUCUCGGCCAAAGCCCAAGGGCAGCCUGGGCUACGCGAAAAAGCGCGCCGACGUCGGCGGGGAUUAAGAAAAUAUUACUCCC